CCUACGGGUGGCAGCAGUGGGGAAUAUUGGACAAUGGGCGAAAGCCUGAUCCAGCCAUGCCGCGUGUGUGAAGAAGGCCUUCGGGUUGUAAAGCACUUUCAGUGGGGAAGAAAGCCUUGGGGCUAAUACCCUCGAGGAAGGACAUCACCCACAGAAGAAGCACCGGCUAACUCCGUGCCAGCAGCCGCGGUAAUACGGAGGGUGCGAGCGUUAAUCGGAAUUACUGGGCGUAAAGCGCGCGUAGGCGGUCUGAUAAGUCGGUUGUGAAAGCCCCGGGCUCAACCUGGGAACGGCAUCCGGAACUGUCAGGCUAGAGUGCAGGAGAGGAAGGUAGAAUUCCCGGUGUAGCAGUGAAAUGCGUAGAGAUCGGGAGGAAUACCAGUGGCGAAGGCGGCCUUCUGGACUGACACUGACGCUGAGGUGCGAAAGCGUGGGUAGCAAACAGGAUUAGAUACCCGAGUAGUC
This 465-nucleotide ribosomal RNA is filed under the name Vreelandella stevensii. Its description in RNAcentral is "partial 16S ribosomal RNA". It matches the Rfam family "Bacterial small subunit ribosomal RNA", at positions 338 to 795 of the family's 1533-position model. The record is from RNAcentral. Lineage: Bacteria; Pseudomonadati; Pseudomonadota; Gammaproteobacteria; Oceanospirillales; Halomonadaceae.